GUUAAAAACAAUCAGAACCAUUAAAUUUGUAAUUAAAUGGUAUGUAAUUACUUUUUUUAUGGAUUAUAAUUAAAAUGUAAAAAAAAAAAAGACAUCACCAUACCAACGAUAUCUCAGAAAAGUGCAUCGCAUAAUAAUUUAUCACGGUGCCAAUAUAUCGCCCAACCCAUUAGGUGAUGCAGUAUAUUUAAAUUGAUAUGAUGGCAGUUCAGUGUGGGACAAGUGAAGCUGUAGUGUUGUGCCCAGUUGUGUGUUUUGGUUGGCCCAGAAAUCUAACACACAGCGAGCUGAAUGAACUGGCUAGUUAAAUGCGUUAAUGCAGAAUAAGGGAAAUGAAUGUGUCUAUGAUCACUGUUCACUUAUAAACUAGCAAAGUUUAUAAUGUAGCACAUCUAUAUUUGCGCUUUCAACAAAAGGCUGACAAGUUGUUGGCUGAUGUUUGUCCUUUCGUGCAUCUCUCACAAAACGUAUUAAUCGAGUCUGACUAGAGUCUUUAUUUUCUCUGUUUGUGUAAGCACACGGUGACUGGGUUCUGUUAGCCGGAGAGUUAUUUGUAUAUGACAGCUUUUUUCGGUUUUGUUACAUACCCGCGUUCCUGAUUUUGAAAAGAUUAUCUGUGGUGUACUCUGAUUAAUCCAUGUAGUAGGUGGUGGGAUUCAGAUGUACAUACUAUUCAAUUCUAUUUUAUUUGUAUAACGGUUUUAACAGUGGACAUUCUCUAAAGCAGCUUUACAGAAACAUUUAAACACAGGAUAUAGAUUUUAAGUGUGUGAAUUUAUCCCUAACGAACAAGUUGGUGGAGACGGUGCUGAGGAAAAACACUAAGAUGAUCUGAGGAAGAAACCUUGAGAGGAACCAGACUCGGAAGGGAACCCGUCCUCAUCUGGGUGACAACGGAUAGUGUGAAAGUAAAGGGAAGUUCAUUAUGGUUUUUAUAUGAAGUCUGUUUUGUUGAACUGAUCCACUGUUCAUUAAAGAAGACUUGAGUGCAAAACUGUAUGUGGUAAUUGCAGUCCUAAGGCCAUAGCAGCAACCGUAGUUCCAGCAUCACAGCAAGAAUGUCCAUGUGAAACUGUGGUCCAAAACCAUUUCCAUGGUACUUCAAGCGGCGUCAUCCUCAGCAAUCUCCAGGCUGCACUGCUUGGGGUCGUCCUCAGUAGCAGAAUGUAGCCUCCAGUUGAUGAGAGCUCCAAUCAGAGGUAGGGCAUCAGGAUGGACCAGGCAGGUCCGGAGAUCAGAAAGGGUCAGGAUCGCUGGCAUCUCCAUAAUAUCAUGGGUGGCUCGACAGAAGGAGAGAGGGAGAGGAUGGUAAAGAGAGGGAGAGAUUGUUAGGUAUGCUUACUACCCCAUAAUGGAUAAGACAGUGUACUUUGCAUCGAAAAAGUCUAUUCAUGGAAACUUGAGUAAACACAUGUUUUCAGCCUGGACUUAAAUACUGUGACUGCGUCUGAGUCCCGAACACUAAUUGGAAGGCUUUUCCAUGAAUGUGGGGCUUUGUAAGAGAAAGCUCUUUCUCUUGCUGUAGCCUGCACUAUUCGAGGUACCAACAAAUAGCCUGCACCUUUUGAUCUAAGUAGGCGUGGCGGGUCAUAGAAGACCAAAAGUUCGCUCAGGUACUGUGGCACGAGACCAUUCAGUGCUUUAUAGGUCAAUGGUAGUAUUUUAGUUACUGCAUUGUGUGGUACUCCCACCUACAUGAAGCGCAUUAUGUUUAAACUGCAUCCAUAUCCUACACAGGAUCACAGGGAGCCCUGGAGCCUAUCCCAGGGGACUCGGGGAACAAACCCUGGACUGGGUGCCAGCCUAUCACAAGGAACGAUCACAUUAGGGCUGCAACAACUAAUCAAUCAUUACAAUAAUAUUCAGUGAAUCUCAUUAUGGAUUAGUCGGGUCUGUGACGUCACUGUGGGUAUACCCACCCACCUCCCCGCCCCAUCAGUGAUGUCACUUCACAACGGUGAAAAACGUAUUUCUAUUAAUAAAACACACGAGAAAAACAGUAGAGAUCACAGAGUGAGGGGGGAAAGUGCACGAUCCAGGUCGUCCAAAACAUGAGUGAUUUAUAUUAAGCGCUUCAAAUAAACUCGUAAGUGUAUUGUUGUUGCUUGUCGUGUCAGACUCUGCAACCGGUGCGUGCCUGGUUGUGAAAUCUGAUUAGACACCUGGGCAUGUGAUUUGUCUUCUCUGCAGUUAUUCUUGCUGAAGAUAUGAUUAGCUAGUUAACAUUUUCCCUGUGGAGUCCGGCUAGCCUGUGCACAGACUGAACCGAGAUUAGGAAGUUUUACAUUUUGUCCAUUUGCUGUUUGUCCAUUUUUGAGCUUCUAGCACAUUUAAAAAAAAACAAAAAAAAAAACAUUAGUUGGCCACAGGUGUUCUACACAGUGGUGUCAUUUAGGUGUCUCAGUGCAUUAAAGCAAAUUCCUUCUUGAUCAGAAGUAGUGUGUGUGUGUGUCACAGGACUUCGAUAGGCAGCAUUAGUGCUUUGAGGUUCAGCCUUUCCCGCUUGCAGUCAAGAAGCUGGUUUUAAUUUGUAGAGGGAGAGGGGGGGAGGUUGCUGUGUGUAUCUGCUCCUUCACCUUCCAUUCCAUGCCUAAAGCAUGAGCUGGUACAGGGUCAAAACCAGAUGGGAUCUAAUACCAUGCAGCAGGUCUGAGUCCUUUACAAAAGCGAAAGUUAGACGCUUGGCUGUAUACAUGUGCCAAACAGCUGUACAUUCCACAGCUUGUCUCGCAAGUCUGCAUUUGGGGGGGAGAACAAUGUUAGCGCUGGAAAAAAUGAACAAAAGAAAGGAGAGGUGAGAGGAGGCCCCAUGCAAUGUUGAAACGCGGGAUAUAUCUGAAUUCUUCGUGCCUGAUGUUUUUCUCUUCAGUGAUGCAGAUGCAUUAACAUGAGCAUGCAUUCUGAAUUAAAAUGACUGAAGUGCUAGAGUGACUUGUAGUUACUACAUUUCUUGUAUCAGGGAUGGAUUAAAAUGUUGUGCAGUCACUUGAGGGUUUUUCCACAACCGUUCUUCUCAGAAAUCUGCUUGCAGCCAUCGAUAGCUUCCUUUAUCUGCCCGUUCAGGUACUUCAUAUGUUUUCUGCCCCUAGCCAGUUCAGGUACUUCAUAUGUUUUCCACCCCUAGCCAGUUCAGGUACUUCAUAUGUUUUCCGCCCCUAGCCAGUUCAGGUACUUCAUAUGAUUUCUGCCCCUAGCCAGUUCAGGUACUUCAUAUGAUUUCUGCCCCUAGCCAGUUCAGGUACUUCAUAUGAUUUCUGCCUCUAGCCAGUUCAGGUACUUCAUGUUUUCCACCGCUAGCCAGUUCAGGUACUUCAUAUGAUUUCUGCCCCUAGCCAGUUCAGGUACUUCAUAUGAUUUCUGCCUCUAGCCAGUUCAGGUACUUCAUGUUUUCCACCGCUAGCCAGUUCAGGUACUUCAUAUGAUUUCUGCCCCUAGCCAGUUCAGGUACUUCAUAUGAUUUCUGCCUCUAGCCAGUUCAGGUACUUCAAAUGAUUUCUACCCCUAGCCAGUUCAGGUACUUUAUACGAUUUCUACCCCUAGCCAGUUCAGGUACUUCAAAUGAUUUCUACCCCUAGCCAGUUCAGGUACUUCAUACGAUUUCUACCCCUAGCCAGUUCAGGUUC
Long non-coding RNA from Ictalurus punctatus (channel catfish), 3623 nucleotides. The record is from Ensembl. NCBI's taxonomy places the organism in Eukaryota, Metazoa, Chordata, Actinopteri, Siluriformes, Ictaluridae.